Molecule: microRNA, 22 nt
Filed under: Bombyx mori (domestic silkworm)
Lineage: Eukaryota; Metazoa; Arthropoda; Insecta; Lepidoptera; Bombycidae
Description: bmo-miR-2790-3p
Source: miRBase by way of RNAcentral
UAAGAACUGUAUUUUGUCCAAA